RNAcentral lists this ribosomal RNA (942 nucleotides) under uncultured bacterium. RNAcentral's name for it is "bacterial SSU rRNA". It matches the Rfam family "Bacterial small subunit ribosomal RNA", at positions 42 to 983 of the family's 1533-position model. The record is from RNAcentral.
GCAGCUUACACAUGCAGUCGAGCGGGGAAGUAUAGCUUGCUAUACGACCUAGCGGCGGACGGGUGAGUAAUGCUUAGGAAUCUGCCUAUUAGUGGGGGACAACAUUCCGAAAGGAAUGCUAAUACCGCAUACGCCCUACGGGGGAAAGCAGGGGAUCUUCGGACCUUGCGCUAAUAGAUGAGCCUAAGUCAGAUUAGCUAGUUGGUGGGGUAAAGGCCUACCAAGGCGACGAUCUGUAGCGGGUCUGAGAGGAUGAUCCGCCACACUGGGACUGAGACACGGCCCAGACUCCUACGGGAGGCAGCAGUGGGGAAUAUUGGACAAUGGGCGCAAGCCUGAUCCAGCCAUGCCGCGUGUGUGAAGAAGGCCUUUUGGUUGUAAAGUACUUUAAGCGAGGAGGAGGCUACUUGGAUUAAUACUCUAGGAUAGUGGACGUUACUCGCAGAAUAAGCACCGGCUAACUCUGUGCCAGCAGCCGCGGUAAUACAGAGGGUGCGAGCGUUAAUCGGAUUUACUGGGCGUAAAGCGUGCGUAGGCGGCUUUUUAAGUCGGAUGUGAAAUCCCUGAGCUUAACUUAGGAAUUGCAUUCGAUACUGGGAAGCUAGAGUAUGGGAGAGGAUGGUAGAAUUCCAGGUGUAGCGGUGAAAUGCGUAGAGAUCUGGAGGAAUACCGAUGGCGAAGGCAGCCAUCUGGCCUAAUACUGACGCUGAGGUACGAAAGCAUGGGGAGCAAACAGGAUUAGAUACCCUGGUAGUCCAUGCCGUAAACGAUGUCUACUAGCCGUUGGGGCCUUUGAGGCUUUAGUGGCGCAGCUAACGCGAUAAGUAGACCGCCUGGGGAGUACGGUCGCAAGACUAAAACUCAAAUGAAUUGACGGGGGCCCGCACAAGCGGUGGAGCAUGUGGUUUAAUUCGAUGCAACGCGAGACCUUACCUGGUCUGA